This is a long non-coding RNA of Daphnia pulicaria, 802 nucleotides long. RefSeq lists it as uncharacterized. The transcript has 3 exons. NCBI's taxonomy places the organism in Eukaryota, Metazoa, Arthropoda, Branchiopoda, Diplostraca, Daphniidae. The record is from RefSeq and is a predicted model, not a curated record.
AAGGCACACUUUUCCAAGGGGAGCAACAGCGUUUACCUACACACGCAAUGAAAUUAAAAUAUGCACGACAAGGUGUCAUAAAUAACUGAACAAUAUACCUUGGCAACCGAAAUCUCUGCGCAGACGGUAUAUUCAGAAAAGAGAUCCUUACCUGGGUGGCUCGAAUCUUUACACACAAAUUUGUCUUGGGAGACUUACAAAACUUGCAGUCAUAGCACUGAGGAGUGUAAAGUGGAAUCACAUGGUCACCUUGAAGGGUUUUGAAUUAAAGAGAGGGGACACAGAAGUCACUCCUUCUCCAACACUUUCAACAAUGCCACCUCCUUCGUGACCGAGGAUGCAUGGAAAGAUGCCUUCAGGAUCAUGUCCAUCUAAAGUGUAUGCAUCAGUGUGACAUACACCAGUGGCAACAAUCUUGAUACGGACUUCUCCAGCUUGAGGAGGUGCCACUUCAAUGGUUUCAAGGCUGAGUGGUUCCUUUGCGGCCCAAGCAACAGCUGCACGGCAGGUGAUAGUCUGAGGAUUAUUCAUUGAUUAGUUUCAGUAACUGAACACCUCUGAUUCAUAUUUUACAGUGAAUUUUUUUACUUUCAAGUACUGUGUUACUAAACUUUUAACAAAUACUGUAAAUUUAAACAUUUUUAUAGCUAAUUGUACAAAAGUUCAAUUACUGAAUAACUCAAACUUACUUUUCCCAUCGUUUCGGACAUUUCUAAUUGAAAGAAAGAUAUCAGUACGACCAAAGGUAUUUUGUUAACUAGCAAGUUCUCUCAGCUGUCUGUCAAUGAGCCACUUCCAAGGU